Molecule: long non-coding RNA, 1481 nt
Filed under: Nicotiana tabacum (common tobacco)
Lineage: Eukaryota; Viridiplantae; Streptophyta; Magnoliopsida; Solanales; Solanaceae
Description: long non-coding RNA (NTAB_LNC010535)
Source: RNAcentral
CUUAGUCCAUUUAGCGAUUCCCCGUUCUUAGGCCUUUCAUUGUAGCAACGCAAGCCCAAAAUCCAUAAACCAAACAGCCCCAAAAUCAAUUGCCGGCCAGGCACCGUUUUCUCCAUUCUCUUUUCGGUCUUGCGCCAUUAACACCACCCUUUAACUCCCCCUUUUUCACUCCUUAUUUAACCUCUUCUCCUUAGAACGAAGAUGAAAAUUCAGAUACUGCAGAACCUUGCCGGAAUAAUUUCCUUGCAGCCAGAAGAUGGGAGAGGUGUUAUAUGGAUACAAUCGAUCGUUACUAAACCCUAAGAAUUAACGUCGUGUAUCUAUGAAUGUAGUAUCUCAGAACGCCUUAGCAAUUUCCACUUGCGAUUUGACAAUUUGUUCAAUCCAGCGCCUCUAUCCUUAGACAUAUGAUUUUGCAGGUAAUAAUUGGACUCUUCUUCUUCUUCAGCAAUUGGUUAUUUGCGUCCUAUUUUCUUGCUUUGUUUACAAUUAUAUACCUAUUGCUUAGACCUGCUAAUUACUGGCCUUUAUUUACAGAAAACGCUUUCUAGUUGGUACUUCUUUUUUUAGAAUUCCCCUUUUGGAUUUACUAAGCUCAAACGCAAAUAAAUAGAUAUUCAUAUUCAAGUGUUCGAAUGUGUUAUUCAUUUCAGUCUAAUUAAAAACUGAAGUUACAAAAUCAUACAUGAACAUUUGACCAUAAGGCGACGGACUUUGAUGAUCUCCAUGCUUAAUUGUAUAUGAAAUGGUCCAAAUUACGAACCAAAAAACAGAUUCUCUUGAUAUAUAGUAGCUAUUCUUUUUCAGUAUACCAAAUACGAUCGGAAUAUAUGAGAAUAAAUGCAUGAGCAGAAUAUAAGCAUCCGUACACAUUCUACCUGAAAUCCAUCUUCACAUGGGAAAUUAAAAAAAGGUAUGGUCACCUAUUUCCUGUAACAUUCAUUUACAAGGUAAUACAGCCUGUUAAUAUUAUUCAUCCAGUUACCAUUGUUUGUUAUCUUAAAAGCUGGUAUUCAAUAUUUACUAAAUAUAUCUAAAAUAAUAAGAGAUGGGGAAUUCUCUAUAUAUUGGAGUUACAAAUUACAUAGAACAAUAAUAAUGCUCAAUACAUAAGAAAGGUUUAUUGCAUGUAGUAACAUUGUGCAUAGAAUCUCGCUGUCCUUCCAAAGGCAAUGAUGGUUCUCGUGCAUGAGAAGUGGGUUGCAGCCAUGCAUGAAGAAUCAGAAUCCAUGCCCUUUUCUGUACCACUCAAUUUAUUCUUUCAAAAUACUAAUAGAAAAAAAGGACCCUCCAUGAAAAAGACUCUGAGUGUUUGACUGUCUUUUAAACAUAUUUUAGCUCUUUGGACUUCCCUUAAUGUGGAACCCAUGCCUACCAUUAGUCUUUCUAGCAAAAACAAGGUGGACACCGGGAUCAUGGUGAGUGCAAGAAGCAUUGUGGAGAAUGGAGUUGUUGACACCCUGCACGUUGCUGUUCAUGAA